GAUUUCAACUGAAAAAGUCAUCAACAACAAAGCUGUAUAACUCAUCAAAAUCUAUAACUUUUAUUUUGGUCAUUUCUUCAUCUGAUAAAGUGAUAGUAACAUUGUUCACAAAAUUCAUAUAUCUCUCAUCUGGUUUUAUAAACCAUAACACAGAUAUGUAAAAUUUGUGAAUAAUGUUACUAACACUUUAUCGGAUGAAUAAAUGACAAACAUAAAAGUUAUAGAUCUUGGUGAGUUAUACAACUUUGUUGUUGAUGACUUUUUUAGUUGAAAUC
This 275-nucleotide microRNA precursor is filed under the name Oryza glumipatula. Its description in RNAcentral is "MIR821 microRNA precursor family". It matches the Rfam family "MIR821 microRNA precursor family". Lineage: Eukaryota; Viridiplantae; Streptophyta; Magnoliopsida; Poales; Poaceae. The record is from Rfam by way of RNAcentral.